RNAcentral lists this ribosomal RNA (239 nucleotides) under uncultured Acanthamoeba. Its description in RNAcentral is "partial 18S ribosomal RNA". It matches the Rfam family "Eukaryotic small subunit ribosomal RNA", at positions 97 to 279 of the family's 1831-position model. The record is from RNAcentral. Lineage: Eukaryota; Discosea; Longamoebia; Acanthamoebidae.
CUCAUUAAAUCAGUUAUAGUUUAUUUGAUGGUCUCUUUGUUCCUCUUUUUACCUACUUGGAUAACCGCGGUAAUUCUAGAGCUAAUACAUGCGCAAGGUCCCGAGCGCGGGGGGCGGGGCUUCGCGGCCUCGUCCUCGCAUGCGCAGAGGGAUGUAUUUAUUAGGUUAAAAACCAGCACGCUGGCGACAGCGUCCAAUUCACUGGUGAUUCAUAGUAACUCUUUCGGAUCGCAUUCAUG